GCCAGACUCCUACGGGAGGCAGCAGUGGGGAAUAUUGCACAAUGGGGGAAACCCUGAUGCAGCGACGCCGCGUGAGCGAAGAAGUACCUCGGUAUGUAAAGCUCUAUCAGCAGGGAAGAAGAUGACGGUACCUGACCAAGAAGCUCCGGCUAAAUACGUGCCAGCAGCCGCGGUAAUACGUAUGGAGCAAGCGUUAUCCGGAUUUACUGGGUGUAAAGGGAGCGCAGGCGGCCUUGCAAGUCUGAUGUGAAAGGCUGGGGCUCAACCCCAGGACUGCAUUUGGAACUGUCAUGCUAGAGUGUCGGAGAGGCAGGCGGAAUUCCUAGUGUAGCGGUGAAAUGCGUAGAUAUUAGGAGGAACACCAGUGGCGAAGGCGGCCUGCUGGACGAUGACUGACGUUGAGGCUCGAACGCGUGGGGAGCAGACAGGAUUAGAUACCCUCGUAC
Molecule: ribosomal RNA, 446 nt
Filed under: uncultured bacterium
Lineage: Bacteria
Description: partial 16S ribosomal RNA
Rfam family: Bacterial small subunit ribosomal RNA
Source: RNAcentral